Non-coding RNA from Microcebus murinus (gray mouse lemur), 3464 nucleotides. The record is from RefSeq and is a predicted model, not a curated record. NCBI's taxonomy places the organism in Eukaryota, Metazoa, Chordata, Mammalia, Primates, Cheirogaleidae.
AAGGGGUGUCACCUGACUCUGUUCCUGUCUGACCUCAUCCUGCCUGAACCACCCCACGCUUCCAGAGUGAGAAGGACCCUCUGUCCAGGGCUUAGAGUGUGUCCUGUCUCCUUGCUCCCCACCAGCAUCAAGGGGAUGAGUAGCAUUGGAGUCAGCACAGUGUCCAACCAGGAUGAAGGACAGGGCCACCUGAAGAUACAGAACUAAAGAUGGCAGGAUCUCAGAGAAGACUCAGGACCACCAGGCACUUGCAUGGCCCUUUUAUGCCCUUGGACUUCCAAGCUUCUCCUUUGGCGAAACUGCCUCAUGGGGAUGAGUGGGAUUGCAGUCAACACAGAGUCCAAUCAGGAUGAAAGAAAGACGGUGCCACCUGCAGAUACAGAGCUAAAGCCUCAUGGGGAUGAGUGGGAUUGGAGUCAACACAGUGUCCAACCAGAAUGAACGAUGGGGCCCCCUGCAGGUACUCAGCUAAAGGUAAGGGGGAGACAUGGCCUAUGGCCGCUUCAGAGAGGGCUCCUGGGCAGUUUGCAUUUUUGUGUGGGUCUCGGGUAAUCCCCUUUUGAAUCAGGCCUGACACAGUAACAAUUAGACAUCUAUUAGAAUACGCACCCAUUUCUGGGGAAGAAAAUGUAAAAAUUCUGCCUUUUCCUUUUCCUUGUCCAUGUCCGGCCUAACAUAGGCAAAUCCGCAGAAGCUCGCACACCUCUAUGUGUUUUUCACAGCAAGCCUCCAGGUAGGAGCUGUCUGGAGAUGGACCAUGAGCUGGUGGGAGGAAAACGGGUGUCUUGGGGUGGUACCUGGCUCUGUUCCUCUCUGUCCUAGCCAUGCCUGAACCACCGCAAUCUGCCAUAGUCAGAAGGGCCCUCUGUCCAGGGCUUAGAGUGUGUCCUGACUCCUUGCACCCCACAGGUAACUCUGGGACACUGGUCACUCUAGUCCUGAUUUUCAAGGUGGCCUCGGACUGACCUGUGAGAGUGCCCACAUCAGAAUGUUUCCUGGCUGGCAAAGGCUGGGGUUGGGUCCAAAGUUGUGCCCAUUCUGGAUCUUGUCCCUCAGGGCUCAAGCAGCCUCUAGUGGUCACAGUGUAGGUUGGUAAUGGGUUGGUUCCUAAGCAUUGCUAGGGGGACUGCAGGUGAACUCUCCCCUUUUGGUCAGGAAGGCAGGUGAAGAAGACCAAAGUGAGGCCAUAUUCAGGGCAGUGGUUCGCUUCUCCUCCACUUGGGCAACAGGGUGCCAUCCGCCAUGUUGGAGCCCAGUUGGAUAGUGGUUGGUGUUUUUUCCUCAGCUAAGGGCGGAGGGAGUGGACCUGGGGGAAGGGCAGGCAGGCAUUUGUGGUGCAACAGUGCCAUCCAGAGGAACUUUUUUGGUGUGCCUGCAAAGGCAGGCCUGGGGUUUCCUUGGGAGGAGUGGCUUGGGAGCGCAGUCGGGGUCCAGCAGGGACAGGGGACGGAUCCCCAGACGGAUCAGAGCUCUCUGGAGGCCCUGGGCAAGGGUGGCCCCUGGUACUUCGGGUUGUGAAAUUACCAGGGUUGAGCAGCAGGUCGAGGUGGACAGCCAGCCGCCUGGCGGGCCUGUACAGGAAGUCUGGCUGCGGAGCCUGGUGGCGGCCAUGUCUGAGCAGGACUAGCGGGAACCUGCAGGGGGGAUCAGGGGAUUGGGGCUGUAAGCUCGGGACCAGGGCUGUGGGCAGCUUGCCUGGUGCCCCUUCCCUUAGGAGUAUGGGGCAGGAUGACGUAGGUGGCUCUUUUUUUACAGUAUACUCCAGUGAGAGACCACUCCCAGACCUUGUGUUUCAGGGCCCUUUGGCGUCUGUGGUGGCCUGGGAUGAGAUGUUCUUCUGUCCUAGGGAAGGAGACUGGCCUUGCUGGUGCAUGUGACAGCCCGUGGGAUCAGCAGCUAGACUGGCCAUUGAAGCGACUUAUACAAAUCCCAGCCCAACCAAUGUAACAUAGGGUGUGUCCCUGCUUCCCUUCUCUUUUGUGUACAUGUAUCAAAUGAUCAGUGAAUUGUCUUUACCUCGGGCCCAUCUCCAUGGCAGUCACUUGUGGCUUGGGGCCUUGCUCUGCCCCUACAUCUGUGCUGUGUGGGUGCAGGGACCUGUGCUGUGUCAUUAGGAGCAGACAGUUGGGUGUUGGGGGAAGGUUUGGAAAAGGGAUACUCUGGAAAGGAAGGGUGUACUUGUUAGGCCUGCUGUAGCGGGCGAAGCCAAGAGCAUCCAGAACGAUGGAGCCCUUGGGUUUGGCCCAGGGAGUAAGUGCUGCUUGGCAGAAGGGACAGCUCAGGCAGGCUCAAUCAACAUAGCAAGUGGCAGUGGGCACUGGCUCCUUCACCCUCUGGUCCCUCUCUGUGGUGUCAGGUGGGCCCCACUGGCAGAAUGACACAAGGUUAAAGUUGGCUUGUGAGGUUGGAGCAUUGAAGACAUGACCCUUUGCAAGAAACUAUCUGGAAAGGCAGAGGCCUGGGCCACUGGGGCGUGAUUGUAAUGUGGCUGAGAACAUUGAGUAUCAGUAUGCCAGGGGAAGAGAGGUGUAUGUCCCUUAGCCCCUCUUUAUAGAAUUCAGGGGAAGGAAGGGAAGGAUGGGAUUCUUUAGAGGUCACAGGUGGGAUGUUACUGGAGAAAGGGAAACAAAUGCAGGCAGAGUGAGGUUAUGGGCCUCUGAGGACUGACCCCUUGGGAAUAAGGUGUCUUCCUUGGAGUGAGAAAAGGAGAAAAGGCCCCUAAGGAGAGUUGUCCCUCCCUCCUAUCUGAAUGCAGAGAGAUAGCCACAUGGAUUUAUGUGCCCAUCUAUGCCAGCGUGCACACAGACUUCGAUGAAAUCUCACAGUUAUCUUCCGUCUAAGCCCAGUUUGGUAGCUGUGCAUGGGCCGACUUUCCCAGGAUAAAGAGGAUAAGGUCCAGCUUUGACUUGCCUGGCCUGGGCUUUGAGGAUCAGGGAGGGGCUUUUCAGGGUGGCAGUGGUGGCCGAGGCAGCAGCAUCUAUCUGUAGAGGUAGUUGCAUAGGGUUUGGACUCCUUUGCAUUUGUCUUAAGGCCUCUCGGUCUACUUGAGUGAUUUCUAAUCCCUUCAGUUGCAUCUCUCAUGGUUUUGUAGUAAUAUCUUGAUGUUGGCUGUGGAGGAUCAGGAAGCAAACAUACAUGCUCACACACACACACACACACACCACGCAUACACAGUGAGAGUGCUGGACACAAAAGAGAAAAACAGUGAAUAUUCACGAUAGGAGAGAGAGAAAUAAAAAGGAUGGGUUGGGGAGAGACAGGGAGACAAGGAAGGAGUUAGGAGGUGGGGAAAGGCAGAGAAAGGAGUCAAAAAACACCUUGUUGUAGGAAUCUUGCACAGAAGUUUCUGGUGUGAAGUUCUGGAGGUGGGCAGGGAGACAGUAGCUCGGGUGUCCUGUGUCCCCUCUGUUUACUGUGAAUUGUGUACAGAGUAGUGUCCCUGGGCCAUGUGUUAUCUGCACGUA